CGUUGAAACACCGGUUCUCGUACGAUCACAGAAGUUAAGCAACGACGAGCCUGGUCAGUACUCAGAUGGGCAACAACUUGAGAAUACCACGUACUGUA
Molecule: ribosomal RNA, 98 nt
Filed under: Acanthosepion pharaonis
Lineage: Eukaryota; Metazoa; Mollusca; Cephalopoda; Sepiida; Sepiidae
Source: RNAcentral